UGGGGCGUCGCCAAGCGGUAAGGCACGGGUCUUUGGAACCCGCACCCGGAGGUUCGAAUCCUCCCGCCCCAGCCA
Molecule: transfer RNA, 75 nt
Filed under: Syntrophobacter fumaroxidans
Lineage: Bacteria; Pseudomonadati; Thermodesulfobacteriota; Syntrophobacteria; Syntrophobacterales; Syntrophobacteraceae
Also listed under: 1 other name
Description: tRNA-Gln
Rfam family: tRNA
About the family: Transfer RNA (tRNA) molecules are approximately 80 nucleotides in length. Their secondary structure includes four short double-helical elements and three loops (D, anti-codon, and T loops).
Source: RNAcentral